AUAGCCGGCCUGAGAGGGUGAACGGCCACAAGGGGACUGAGACACGGCCCUUACUCCUACGGGAGGCAGCAGUGGGGAAUAUUGGACAAUGGACCAAAAGUCUGAUCCAGCAAUUCUGUGUGCACGAUGAAGGUCUUCGGAUUGUAAAGUGCUUUCAGGUGGGAAGAAGAAAGUGACGGUACCACCAGAAGAAGCGACGGCUAAAUACGUGCCAGCAGCCGCGGUAAUACGUAUGUCGCAAGCGUUAUCCGGAAUUAUUGGGCGUAAAGCGAGUCUAGGCGGCUUGUUAAGUCAGAUGUGAAAAUGCGGGGCUCAACUCCGUAUUGCGUUUGAAACUGGCAGGCUAGAGUACUGGAGAGGUGGGCGGAACUACAAGUGUAGAGGUGAAAUUCGUAGAUAUUUGUAGGAAUGCCGAUAGUGAAGACAGCUCACUGGACAGAUACUGACGCUAAAGCUCGAAAGCGUGGGGAGCGAACAGGAUUAGAUACCCUGGUAGUCCACGCCGUAAACGAUGUUCACUGGGUGUAGGGGGUCGAACCUCUGUGCCGAAGCUAACGCGAUAAGUGAACCGCCUGGGGAGUACGCACGCAAGUGUGAAACUCAAAGGAAUUGACGGGGACCCGCACAAGCGGUGGAGCAUGUGGUUUAAUUCGACGCAACGCGAGGAACCUUACCAGCA
RNAcentral lists this ribosomal RNA (679 nucleotides) under Stutzerimonas stutzeri. RNAcentral's name for it is "bacterial SSU rRNA". It matches the Rfam family "Bacterial small subunit ribosomal RNA", at positions 283 to 979 of the family's 1533-position model. The record is from RNAcentral. Lineage: Bacteria; Pseudomonadati; Pseudomonadota; Gammaproteobacteria; Pseudomonadales; Pseudomonadaceae.